Molecule: ribosomal RNA, 509 nt
Filed under: uncultured bacterium
Lineage: Bacteria
Description: partial 16S ribosomal RNA
Rfam family: Bacterial small subunit ribosomal RNA (bases 20-329)
Source: RNAcentral
GACGAACGCUGGCGGCGUGCUUAACACAUGCAAGUCGAACGGAAAGGCCCUGCUUUUGUGGGGUGCUCGAGUGGCGAACGGGUGAGUAACACGUGAGUAACCUGCCCUUGACUUUGGGAUAACUUCAGGAAACUGGGGCUAAUACCGGAUAGGAGCUCCUGCUGCAUGGUGGGGGUUGGAAAGUUUCGGCGGUUGGGGAUGGACUCGCGGCUUAUCAGCUUGUUGGUGGGGUAGUGGCUUACCAAGGCUUUGACGGGUAGCCGGCCUGAGAGGGUGACCGGACAGGUGGGGGAGGGGAGGCGCGCGAUGGCGGGGCGGGCGGCGGGAGGGGGGAAGAGGGCAGCGUGGGAGGGGGCGUGGGGGCGCAGGGCGGGGGGGGGGGGGGCGGCCUGGGGGUGGGAGGCGGUUGCCGCGGGGGAGGAGGGGUGAGGGAGGGUGAUGGGAAAAGAAGCCCCGAGUAACGACGGGCCCGCGGCUGCGGUAAUAAGGGGAGGAGCACCCUACUGCAC